GGGUAGGCGGGUACUAAUACAUGCAAGUCGAGCGAACUGAUUAGAAGCUUGCUUCUAUGACGUUAGCGGCGGACGGGUGAGUAACACGUGGGCAACCUGCCUGUAAGACUGGGAUAACUUCGGGAAACCGAAGCUAAUACCGGAUAGGAUCUUCUCCUUCAUGGGAGAUGAUUGAAAGAUGGUUUCGGCUAUCACUUACAGAUGGGCCCGCGGUGCAUUAGCUAGUUGGUGAGGUAACGGCUCACCAAGGCAACGAUGCAUAGCCGACCUGAGAGGGUGAUCGGCCACACUGGGACUGAGACACGGCCCAGACUCCUACGGGAGGCAGCAGUAGGGAAUCUUCCGCAAUGGACGAAAGUCUGACGGAGCAACGCCGCGUGAGUGAUGAAGGCUUUCGGGUCGUAAAACUCUGUUGUUAGGGAAGAACAAGUACGAGAGUAACUGCUCGUACCUUGACGGUACCUAACCAGAAAGCCACGGCUAACUACGUGCCAGCAGCCGCGGUAAUACGUAGGUGGCAAGCGUUAUCCGGAAUUAUUGGGCGUAAAGCGCGCGCAGGCGGUUUCUUAAGUCUGAUGUGAAAGCCCACGGCUCAACCGUGGAGGGUCAUUGGAAACUGGGGAACUUGAGUGCAGAAGAGAAAAGCGGAAUUCCACGUGUAGCGGUGAAAUGCGUAGAGAUGUGGAGGAACACCAGUGGCGAAGGCGGCUUUUUGGUCUGUAACUGACGCUGAGGCGCGAAAGCGUGGGGAGCAAACAGGAUUAGAUACCGGGGUAGUC
Molecule: ribosomal RNA, 779 nt
Filed under: Priestia megaterium
Lineage: Bacteria; Bacillati; Bacillota; Bacilli; Caryophanales; Bacillaceae
Description: bacterial SSU rRNA
Rfam family: Bacterial small subunit ribosomal RNA
Source: RNAcentral